GUCCCCAUCGUCUAGAGGCCCAGGACACUGCCCUUUCACGGCGGUAACAGGGGUUCGAAUCCCCUUGGGGACGCCA
Molecule: transfer RNA, 76 nt
Filed under: Legionella hackeliae
Lineage: Bacteria; Pseudomonadati; Pseudomonadota; Gammaproteobacteria; Legionellales; Legionellaceae
Also listed under: 7 other names
Description: tRNA-Glu (TTC) (tRNA-Glu-TTC-1-1)
Rfam family: tRNA
About the family: Transfer RNA (tRNA) molecules are approximately 80 nucleotides in length. Their secondary structure includes four short double-helical elements and three loops (D, anti-codon, and T loops).
Source: RNAcentral